AUGCAUUUGCUGGGGCACCUUGUAAACCGUACUUGUGACCGCGGCCGUGUCUGGGAGCUCUCGCCCGGGUUUUCCCUGCAGCCUGGGCCCGGCAGGGGAGGGGAGGGGAGGCCAGGAGGAGGGGCAGUGAGGCGCAGUUCCCCUGGACCUCCAGGGUGGAGGGGUGGGCACUCUUGCUCCCGACCCAGAGGCCAGGCCCACUUCCUUUCCGCCCCACUUCUGUCCUGGCCCUGUAAGUGUAAGAUUCCUUGUAGGGGAGCCCUUCAAAGCCCUCCAGCUGUGAAAUUCUUGGUUUGUGGAGACUUCACCUGCUUCUGCUCCACUCAGCUCGCCCCAAGGCAACAUCCUACACCAACCACCACGGCCCUCGGGACCUCUGCCUCAGUUCCUCCACCGUGCUGGCUGCCCUGCCCCCCUCUCCGGCCUUGGUCUGGAGCGGUUGGAGCAGGACGUCCGAGCAGACGACUGAAGAGCCUGGGCCGGGACCAUCCUGGUGCCACACCCGGGGGCGUGGAGCCCACUCGCUGCCUCACCCGCCUUCUAGAACUCCCAAGUCUCUCCACAGGGGAUCUGGUGCUGGAACGCAAGGCGUGGACUCUGGGUCCAGGUGCGCUGGAUUCAAAUGUCGGAUCUGCUACUGCCUGCUCAUGCGACCUGGGCAGGCCCCUGCUCUGUGCCGUCGCCGCGGCAAGACGGUGCUCCUGGUAGGCUUAGGAACCUUACAGCAGCGGCUGUUUCGGGAAAUGACCCAGGACAGAACCUGGCACGUGGUAACUGCACAAAAUAAAUAACUCUUCAGUUUCCCUUUGAUUUCUUCUUUGACCCAUGGUUUAGUUUCUAAAUAUUUGAAGGUUUUCUAAAAAUCUUGUCACUGAUUUCUAGUAUUUCAUUUCAUUGUGGUUGAAGAACAUGCUCUCCAUGAUCCGAAUCCUUU
This 934-nucleotide long non-coding RNA is filed under the name Suricata suricatta (meerkat). RNAcentral's name for it is "lncRNA (ENSSSUG00005009998.1)". Lineage: Eukaryota; Metazoa; Chordata; Mammalia; Carnivora; Herpestidae. The record is from RNAcentral.